GGGUCUAUAGCGCAGCCAGGUAGCGCACUGGCCUUUUAAGCCAGCUGUCGUGGGUUCGAAUCCCACUAGACCCG
Molecule: transfer RNA, 74 nt
Filed under: Marine Group I thaumarchaeote SCGC AAA799-D07
Lineage: Archaea; Thermoproteati; Nitrososphaerota
Also listed under: 28 other names
Rfam family: tRNA
About the family: Transfer RNA (tRNA) molecules are approximately 80 nucleotides in length. Their secondary structure includes four short double-helical elements and three loops (D, anti-codon, and T loops). Further hydrogen bonds mediate the characteristic L-shaped molecular structure. tRNAs have two regions of fundamental functional importance: the anti-codon, which is responsible for specific mRNA codon recognition, and the 3' end, to which the tRNAs corresponding amino acid is attached (by aminoacyl-tRNA synthetases). tRNAs cope with the degeneracy of the genetic code in two manners: having more than one tRNA (with a specific anti-codon) for a particular amino acid; and 'wobble' base-pairing, i.e. permitting non-standard base-pairing at the 3rd anti-codon position.
Source: Rfam by way of RNAcentral